Molecule: long non-coding RNA, 263 nt
Organism: Ornithodoros turicata
Lineage: Eukaryota; Metazoa; Arthropoda; Arachnida; Ixodida; Argasidae
Exons: 4
Source: RefSeq, a predicted model, not a curated record
CCUGAAGCCCUUCCUAACGGCGAUGUAAGUACUUGCAGCAUCAUGGAAGAGACGCAGGUGAUGGACGCAGAUUUCCAUGGCAGCACUCCAGUUUCUGCUGUACCGAAAGAUGUUUUAGAAGAGCACCGAAGCUGUAAUCUCAUUUCGGAUCCCAGGCGGACGACCGCUUCCCAAUUACAGCCCAGGCUGGCCGCGCGUUCUGUGCGCCCCCAGUGUCGGGGUUUUAUGGCUCUUCGUACUCGUUUUACGGCUGCCUGAAAAAG